This 378-nucleotide unclassified non-coding RNA is filed under the name plant metagenome. RNAcentral's name for it is "partial contains 5.8S ribosomal RNA, internal transcribed spacer 2, and large subunit ribosomal RNA". The stretch from base 1 to 105 matches the Rfam family "5.8S ribosomal RNA", at positions 50 to 154 of the family's 154-position model. The record is from RNAcentral.
GAAAUGCGAUAAGUAAUGUGAAUUGCAGAAUUCAGUGAAUCAUCGAAUCUUUGAACGCACCUUGCGCUCCUUGGUAUUCCUUGGAGCAUGCCUGUUUGAGUAUCAUGAAAUCUUCAAAGUAAAUCUUUUGUUAACUCAAUUGGUUUCUACUUUGGUAUUGGAGGUCUUUGCAGCUUCACACCUGCUCCUCUUUGUUCAUUAGCUGGAUCUCAGUGUUAUGCUUGGUUCCACUCGGCGUGAUAAGUUAUCUAUCGCUGAGGACACUGUAAAAGGUGGCCAAGGUAAAUGCAGAUGAACCACUUCUAAUAGUCCUUUGACUUGGACAAUACUUUUAUGAUCUGAUCUCAAAUCAGGUAGGACUACCCGCUGAACUUAAGC